RNAcentral lists this ribosomal RNA (230 nucleotides) under uncultured bacterium. RNAcentral's name for it is "partial 16S ribosomal RNA". It matches the Rfam family "Bacterial small subunit ribosomal RNA", at positions 562 to 791 of the family's 1533-position model. The record is from RNAcentral.
AAAGGGUGCGUAGGCGGGAUCUUAAGUCAGGGGUGAAAUCCCGAGGCUCAACCUCGGAACUGCCUUUGAUACUGGGGUCCUUGAGUCCGGAAGAGGUGAGUGGAACUGCGAGUGUAGAGGUGAAAUUCGUAGAUAUUCGCAAGAACACCGGUGGCGAAGGCGGCUCACUGGUCCGGAACUGACGCUGAGGCACGACAGCGUGGGGAGCAAACAGGAUUAGAUACCCUAGU